This is a small nuclear RNA of Mesocricetus auratus (golden hamster), 107 nucleotides long. The record is from Ensembl. Lineage: Eukaryota; Metazoa; Chordata; Mammalia; Rodentia; Cricetidae.
GUGCUCACUUCAGCAGCACAUAAACUAAAACUGGAAUGCUUCGGAAAACAUUAGCAUGGCCACUGCACAAGGAUGACAUGCAAAUUUGUGCAGUGUUCCAUACUUUA